This 393-nucleotide unclassified non-coding RNA is filed under the name Hevea brasiliensis (rubber tree). The record is from RNAcentral. Lineage: Eukaryota; Viridiplantae; Streptophyta; Magnoliopsida; Malpighiales; Euphorbiaceae.
GUCUGUUAUUGAAUCACAUGAGGACAAGGUGCUGUGUGCUGACUGGUGGAAAGGGGACAGCGUGGUCAGUGGUGGGGUUGACUGCAAGCUAUGCAUUUCUUCUGACAUUGGUGUUGUGUAAGUACCUGUGUCUUUUUCUAAAGUGGAAAAUUAUGGAGAAAGAUGGAAGCAACUUCUGGAGAACAUGGUUUUGCUACUGCAAGGAACAUUUUCUAGGUCAGCCUUGAAAACUCUAUAAUCGGCAGUGAGAUGGGAGAAACUUAAUUCUCUCUAUUAAAUAAGGAGCUGAAGCUGAUUGAAGGGCCCAAGUCAAUUUUGCUCAAGACAUUUUGUUGUAAUGUGCAUGCUGAAUAGUGGCAUUUCUUAUAUGAGUCGUUUCUGGGAGGAUACUGC